Molecule: transfer RNA, 84 nt
Filed under: Flavisolibacter sp.
Lineage: Bacteria; Pseudomonadati; Bacteroidota; Chitinophagia; Chitinophagales; Chitinophagaceae
Rfam family: tRNA
About the family: Transfer RNA (tRNA) molecules are approximately 80 nucleotides in length.
Source: Rfam by way of RNAcentral
GCCCAGGUGGCGGAAUUGGUAGACGCAGCAGACUCAAAAUCUGCCGCCUUCACAGGUGUGCUGGUUCGAUUCCAGUCCUGGGCA